RNAcentral lists this transfer RNA (71 nucleotides) under Paenibacillus larvae. Its description in RNAcentral is "tRNA-Met". It matches the Rfam family "tRNA". From Rfam's summary of the family: Transfer RNA (tRNA) molecules are approximately 80 nucleotides in length. Lineage: Bacteria; Bacillati; Bacillota; Bacilli; Caryophanales; Paenibacillaceae. The record is from RNAcentral.
GGCGGCGUAGCUCAGCUACGGAGCGUACGGUUCAUACCCGUAAGGUCGGGGGUUCAAGCCCUCCGCCGCUA